Molecule: ribosomal RNA, 431 nt
Filed under: Kodamaea ohmeri
Lineage: Eukaryota; Fungi; Ascomycota; Pichiomycetes; Serinales; Debaryomycetaceae
Description: eukaryotic LSU rRNA
Rfam family: 5.8S ribosomal RNA (bases 133-284)
Source: RNAcentral
UGGAAGUAACCAGCGUAACAAGGUUUCCGUAGGUGAACCUGCGGAAGGAUCAUUAACAUUAAUUUACUACACACUGUUUUUUUACAACAAAACAAAUCUAUCUAAAAACAAUUCUUUACAAGAAAUUCUUAAAACUUUCAACAACGGAUCUCUUGGUUCUCGCAUCGAUGAAGAACGCAGCGAAAUGCGAUACGUAAUACGAAUCGCAGCUCUCGGAAUCAUCGAAUCUUUGAACGCACAUUGCACCAUUGGGUAUUCCCAAUGGUAUGCUUGUUUGAGCGAAUACUUCCCUAAUCCUCACGGAUUGUAUUGUGUUUGCACGAAAAUAAUGACGACAGUACUCUACAAAACGGUACCGUCAGUACACUCAUUUUUUUUCCUCAAAUCAAGUAGGACUACCCGCUGAACUUAAGCAUAUCAAAAGGCGGGAG